GCCAACGGCCAUACCAUCUUGAGUACACCGGUUCUCGUCCGAUCACCGAAGUUAAGCAACAUCGGGCGUGGUUAGUACUUGGAUGGGUGACCACCUGGGAACACCACGUGCUGUUGGCU
This 119-nucleotide ribosomal RNA is filed under the name Schistocerca americana (American grasshopper). The record is from RNAcentral. Lineage: Eukaryota; Metazoa; Arthropoda; Insecta; Orthoptera; Acrididae.